RNAcentral lists this ribosomal RNA (666 nucleotides) under Aestuariibacter sp. RNAcentral's name for it is "bacterial SSU rRNA". It matches the Rfam family "Bacterial small subunit ribosomal RNA", at positions 1 to 666 of the family's 1533-position model. Lineage: Bacteria; Pseudomonadati; Pseudomonadota; Gammaproteobacteria; Alteromonadales; Alteromonadaceae. The record is from RNAcentral.
UUUAAUUAAGAGUUUGAUCCUGGCUCAGGAUGAACGCUGGCGGCGUGCCUAACACAUGCAAGUCGAGCGAGAAGGUUGUGAUGGAUUCUUCGGAUGAAAGAUCAACUGGACAGCGGCGGACGGGUGAGUAACGCGUGGGUAACCUGCCCUACACAAAGGGAUAGCCACUGGAAACGGUGAUUAAUACCUUAUAACACUGAGUUGUCGCAUGGCAACUUAGUCAAAGAUUUAUCGGUGUAGGAUGGACCCGCGUCUGAUUAGCUAGUUGGUAAGGUAACGGCUUACCAAGGCGACGAUCAGUAGCCGACCUGAGAGGGUGAUCGGCCACACUGGAACUGAGACACGGUCCAGUCGCCUACGGGAGGCAGCAGUGGGGAAUAUUGCAUAAUGGGCGCAAGCCUGAUGCAGCAACGCCGCGUGAGCGAUGAAGGCCUUCGGGUCGUAAAGCUCUGUCCUCAAGGAAGAAUAAAUGACGGUACUUGAGGAGGAAGCCCCGGCUAACUACGUGCCAGCAGCCGCGGUAAUACGUAGGGGGCUAGCGUUAUCCGGAUUUACUGGGCGUAAAGGGUGCGUAGGUGGCCUGACAAGUGAGGAGUGAAAGGCAAUGGCUCAAGGAUUGUAGGCUCUUGAAGCUGUUAGGCUUGAGUGCAGGAGAGGAAAGUGGAA